RNAcentral lists this ribosomal RNA (270 nucleotides) under uncultured bacterium. RNAcentral's name for it is "partial 16S ribosomal RNA". It matches the Rfam family "Bacterial small subunit ribosomal RNA", at positions 506 to 784 of the family's 1533-position model. The record is from RNAcentral.
UGCCAGCCGCCGCGGUAAUACGGAGGGAGCUAGCGUUGUUCGGAAUUACUGGGCGUGUAGGCGGCCUAUUAAGUCAGAUGUGAAAGCCCACGGCUCAACCGUGGAACAGCCUUCGAUACGGCAGGUCUUGAGUGUGAGAGAGGUAGGUGGAAUUCCUGGUGUAGCGGUGAAAUGCGUAGAUAUCAGGAGGAACACCAGUGGCGAAGGCGGCCUACUGGCUCACUACUGACGCUCAGGGACGAAAGCGUGGGGAGCGAACAGGAUUAGAUA